AGACACAGGGAUGGAUGUAAUUUGCAUUUGGCAGUUGCAUUCUGGAGUAAAAGAAAUUCAAUGGAGUCUGCAUAAACAAUGAUCAAAUAGUGGAUAAAUCAGAUGAAUCCAUUAUUUUCUUUCAUUUCAAGACUGACUGCAUAAUUUUACCAAAAAAAAAAAAGUUUCUCAUUAAAGAAAGGGGAAAUAUGGAAUGCUUUGGCUUUUUGCAUUAAAAAAUGGUAAGAAGCAGUAUUUUAAGUAUGUCACUAUAAAAAAAGGCUGACAAGCUGGGUAGCAGGAGCUGCAGUUAUUUUUGGCCUGUUAUUCCUUCCUCUCCACCUGCUCAGCAGUUCCAAAAAUUGGGGCUAGAAUUCCCUCCAGGCUGGGAAGAAGUCAUGAAAAACACCAUAAGAUGUAGAAAGAAGGGUUGAGUCUGGGGCUACAAUUGAGAAAAAUUCUUGCAGGCUCCGAACAGUAGUAGCUGAACCAAAGAGAGAACAAGAAUAACUGCUGUGACUGCUUCUUAGAUUUGCUAGCAUUUUCUUAUAUUGCUAUGCCAGUGUAAUAUAACUAGCAUGUGUUACUCAAUUCUUCAAGAAACAAAAACAAAAUGCUAACGUAUUGAAAAGGCAUAUGUUUGGAUGUUUAAUGCUGUGUACAACAUCUGUUAUAGUCUUCCUAGUGAAAAAUCUCUGAAAUGCUAAAAUGAAUGCUUUUUAAGACUUACAGCUCUUUGAUAUUUUGUAUUUUAUUUUCUCUCAUCCUAAAUGGUUGACUGAUCUUUAAUAUAGCAUGAAAUAACAGGGCAAAGUUAGUGAUUACUUACCUAGCCAGUGGGAUCCACAAGUGGCCUGAAAAUAUAGACACUGAACUGAAAAUCUUGAUGUUGCUAAUCUUGACAGGCUUUGUGUUAUAAGCAUAAAGCAGCAAAACCUGAAAAGAGAUGGAUUAUGUAAGCUAUAAUGUAGUAUGCUACAGUACACCUGAGGUAUUUGAGUCAUACUAGAUUAUAAUAUCGAAUUUGGUGUACUGCUGUAGACUCUGGUAACCGGCUUUCGGAAAAGGAGGAGAGUGGGGGUUCCUAUGAAUUUGU
Molecule: long non-coding RNA, 1075 nt
Filed under: Apteryx owenii (little spotted kiwi)
Lineage: Eukaryota; Metazoa; Chordata; Aves; Apterygiformes; Apterygidae
Description: lncRNA (ENSAOWG00000007682.1)
Source: RNAcentral